ACGGAAGGCAGCAGUGAGGAAUAUUGGUCAAUGGAGGCAACUCUGAACCAGCCAUCUCGCGUGAAGGAAUACGGCCCUAUGGGUCUUAAACUUCUUUUAUAGGGGGAUAAAGUCGGGCAUUCGUGCCCGUUUGCAGGUACCCCAUGAAUAAGGAUCGGCUAACUCCGUGCCAGCAGCCGCGGUAAUACGGAGGAUCCGAGCGUUAUCCGGAUUUAUUGGGUUUAAAGGGUGCGCAGGCGGCCCGUUAAGUCAGCGGUGAAAUGUCGGGGCUCAACCCGGGCACUGCCGUUGAAACUGGGGGGCUUGAGUACGGAUGAGGUCGGCGGAAUGUGACGUGUAGCGGUGAAAUGCAUAGAUAUGUCGCAGAACACCGAUUGCGAAGGCAGCCGGCCAAUCCGCAACUGACGCUCAUGCACGAAAGCGUGGGGAUCGAACAGGAUUAGAUACCCUGGUA
This 454-nucleotide ribosomal RNA is filed under the name uncultured Parabacteroides sp. RNAcentral describes it as "partial 16S ribosomal RNA". It matches the Rfam family "Bacterial small subunit ribosomal RNA", at positions 341 to 792 of the family's 1533-position model. Lineage: Bacteria; Pseudomonadati; Bacteroidota; Bacteroidia; Bacteroidales; Tannerellaceae. The record is from RNAcentral.